This 254-nucleotide ribosomal RNA is filed under the name uncultured bacterium. RNAcentral describes it as "partial 16S ribosomal RNA". It matches the Rfam family "Bacterial small subunit ribosomal RNA", at positions 524 to 776 of the family's 1533-position model. The record is from RNAcentral.
UACGGGGGGAGCAAGCGUUGUUCGGAUUUACUGGGCGUAAAGGGCGCGUAGGCGGCCACUGCAAGUCGGUUGUGAAAUCUCCGGGCUUAACUCGGAAAGGUCAAUCGAUACUGCAGGGCUAGAGUGCAGAAGGGGCAACUGGAAUUCUCGGUGUAGCGGUGAAAUGCGUAGAUAUCGAGAGGAACACCGGCGGCGAAGGCGGCCAACUGGACGAUCACUGACGCUGAGACACGAAAGCGUGGGGAGCAAACAGG